Molecule: ribosomal RNA, 458 nt
Filed under: uncultured bacterium
Lineage: Bacteria
Description: partial 16S ribosomal RNA
Rfam family: Bacterial small subunit ribosomal RNA
Source: RNAcentral
CCUACGGGUGGCAGCAGUGGGGAAUAUUGCACAAUGGGGGAAACCCUGAUGCAGCGACGCCGCGUGAGUGAAGAAGUAUUUCGGUAUGUAAAGCUCUAUCAGCAGGGAAGAAAUAGCGACCUUUGGGUCGCCAGACGGUACCUGAUUAAGAAGCCCCGGCUAACUACGUGCCAGCAGCCGCGGUAAUACGUAGGGGGCAAGCGUUAUCCGGAUUUACUGGGUGUAAAGGGAGCGUAGACGGCAGCGCAAGUCUGAAGUGAAAUGCCGGGGCUUAACCCCGGAACUGCUUUGGAAACUGUAUGGCUGGAGUGCUGGAGAGGUAAGCGGAAUUCCUAGUGUAGCGGUGAAAUGCGUAGAUAUUAGGAGGAACACCAGUGGCGAAGGCGGCUUACUGGACAGUAACUGACGUUGAGGCUCGAAAGCGUGGGGAGCAAACAGGAUUAGAUACCCGAGUAGUC